This 1293-nucleotide ribosomal RNA is filed under the name Triticum aestivum (bread wheat). Its description in RNAcentral is "partial small subunit ribosomal RNA". Lineage: Eukaryota; Viridiplantae; Streptophyta; Magnoliopsida; Poales; Poaceae. The record is from RNAcentral.
AUGCCAAAACUUGUAAGGAUGGCGGACGAGGAACAUGCUCAAACUUCUAGGAAGAGGGUUGCAGACAAACAAAUCAACAAGGAUCAUCCUGAGCCUGAUGAUGACUCAUCGGAACAAGAGACAGGAACAUUUAAGAAAGCUAGUGAAGAAGUGAUGGCAACCCGGAAGAUUGUAAAGGUUCGGCGUCAGCAGCCAUCAGCAGCUCCUUCUUCAAAUCCUUUCUCUGCAAUUAGAUUCACCCCCAAUGAUUCCAUUGCUCAAGCGAGUAUCACAGUCUCAGAGCCUCCACCUUCUGAUGUUAGCAAUGGCAAGUCCAGUGCCCUAACUGAAGCACCCUCUCAACUUGUUGAGUCAGAUGGCAAGGCAGAAGUUACAGUGGAUGGAACUGGUGAGGACAAAGUGGUUGUUGAAGAACUCAAGGAAGAUAACAGCAAGACAUCUGAAAUUGAGGGCAAAACAAAUGAUGGAGAUGCUGAAGAGAAGAAAGCAGUGGAUGAAGCUGGAGGUGAAGAUAAAGUUAGCAAGGAUGAUGAUGAGAAGAAUGAUGAAGCUGAAUCAGGGACCAAGGAUGGAUCAUCUGAGCAGAAGGACGCUGAUAACAAAGGGCAGUCAUCAUCGCCGACACCUCUUUUCUCCUUCACCAAUCUGUCAAGUGGCCAAAAUGCUUUCACAGGACUGGCUGGAACUGGAUUUUCAGGCUCAUCAUUUUCAUUUGGCUCGGGCUCUAAAGACAGCUCAAAUGCUCCCCUAUUUGGGCUAAAGAGUGAUGGCUCAUCAUUCCCUUCUUUCAACAUUGGUGCUACCAACAAUGGGAGUUCUGCCCCAUCACUCGCCACUGCAGCAGACGCACCGAAGAAAUUUGCCAUGUCAGAGGGCCCAGUUGAAACCGGCGAAGAGAACGAGAAGGCUGUAUUCACUGCUGACUCUGCUAUAUACGAGUACCUCGACGGCGGCUGGAAGGAAAGAGGAAGGGGUGAACUGAAGCUGAACAUCCCGGUAUCUGGCGGUGAGAGAUCUCGGCUCGUCAUGAGGGCCAAGGGCAACUACCGGCUCAUUCUGAAUGCAAGCCUUUACGACGACAUGACGCUGAAGGACAUGGACAAGAAGGGCGUGACGUUUGCUUGCAUCAACAGCAUCGGCGAAUCACCGAGUGGGCUCACCACAUUUGCUCUGAAGUUCAAGGAUACCGGCAUCCGGGAAGAUUUCAAGGCUGCAGUGGAGACGCACAAGGCGAAGAAGGCUUCGGACACGCCAAAGACUCCCGAGGGCUCCCCGAAGGCGUCCGACGUUUGA